GUGCCUAGCAUGCCAUAAACUGUAGUUUACUGUGACUUUUCCGGGGAAGGCAAAUUACACAGUCAGCAGCUGCAGAUUUCAAAAGGUAGUGAGUUCGGAUACCUGUAGCCACGGGGUCUUCCUGAACUUGGCAAGCCUGAAGAUUUUUCCUUCUGGACUAGGUCAGCAGAGCCGCUGGAAUUGCCCACAUAGCUCUCAGCAAAGCUGGGAAGAACGAACCAGCGUCCAGACAAAACGCGAGCGAGUGGUUCGGAACGCUGAAUCAUCAGCUUGCACUAAACAUACAUACGGGAUUGCUUUAGGGUAAGGAGCGACUGGAGAAAUUAAGUUGAAUUCAUUUCAAACGGGAAGGCUAGUGUGCUCUGAAGAGACCACAUAAGGAUAACACGCGUUUGGGGGAGUAAGAGAGGGUUAAAAGGCAAGAACUCGGACAACCCAGGGGGAAAGGCAGGCAUGUGUCUUGCUUGGGAAAUGUGCAUCUGGAAACCGCAGGACACAGAUCAAAGCCACUCUCUCCAGCCACCUGCCCAGAAACCCAGCCAGACACCUCAGGACACAGGACAUGUGGGCACGUGUUUCCAUUCUAAACCCAACAGGUGGCCAGACUUAGGGUCUAGACAGGGCUGUGCGCAGGGAUAGAUGUAGAAUGGAGCGCCUGGGUCCCUCCCGAGGUCUAGAUUCAGCUCUGCCGCCCUACUGGAUGCCUUGCCACCUGUAUCACGGAGUUGUACAGGACAGGAGCCAAGCUUUCUGCACCGGGACAGCGCCGGAACCCCGCGAGCGAGCGCUCCACAGUCCUCUCUCCGGUCCCCGCCCGCCUGCAUCCCAGGGCCCAUGGGUCCUCACCUCGCGGGGACAGCUGCAGAGCUGGCGACGGUGAGCCCACAUGCCCCCUGCACGGCGGCCCCUUCCCACGGCCCCUGGAGUCCGGUCCGGCCGAGGGGCGGGGUGCGCACGGGGCGGAGGCGCCGUAGGGGCCGGGGCCACAGGCAGAGCCCGCCGGACACUGUCACUGAGGAGAUCCCACCGCCCCGCCCCGGAGAACCAAGGCUCUCAGUGACGCCAGCCCCGAGGGUGACUCUGCCCUGCUGCCAGACUGGCCUUGUCCCCGGAUCCGCUCUGCGCUGGGGGCUCGGCCACGGAGGAGGGGCGCCUCCAGGUUAUGUAAUGCUCCGGCCCGGCCGGCCCGCCGAGUCACGAGCCAGCCCACUAGGGACUUGCAGGGCUCUCUCUGGAACAGCCCUGUGUGCCUGGGACCUACACUAAAGGAGUGCCUGGGUGUUCUCCAGAAGACUAUGUCCCUGAAUGGUCAGAGAGUAGAAGCUGUUCAAAGUCUCCUGCACCGGCAUCUGGCAAGGACCAGGACCCUGGUCAGACCACUGCACACAUCAAUCAGUCCUAAGGACUUGAGUUCAACUCGCUCGCAAACUCUAUGACUUUAAACAGUUCACUUGGUCUCAGUUUCUCAAUAAAAUAAAAACAAAGUUUGCUCCUGCUGAAG
Molecule: long non-coding RNA, 1501 nt
Filed under: Rattus norvegicus (Norway rat)
Lineage: Eukaryota; Metazoa; Chordata; Mammalia; Rodentia; Muridae
Description: long non-coding RNA NONRATT001685
Source: RNAcentral